UAUAUUAUAUUAUAUUAUAUUAAAAUUUAAAAAUAAAAUAAAAAGUGCAUAGCCUUUGCUUAAUGGUUGAGAGUUUUUGCAGCUUCGCUUGAACAGUGAUGGCCAUAUUACUGGAAUUGAGUAUUUGUCGGACCUUGUGGAAAAGAAACAUAAACAUGGUAAUGUCUUCCUUUUCUGUCUGACUCUCGUAUAAACUUUUUCCUCCUCACAUUAGUGAACUUUAAUUAUGCUUUUUGUUGGAUAAAAAUAUAUUAUAUGUUUAAUAACAUCGUUUAAAUGACUACUUUAACCAGAUGACCACAAAGACCAUCAUGAAGAUUCAGAUAACAAAACCCAUCUGCAAGG
RNAcentral lists this long non-coding RNA (345 nucleotides) under Nicotiana benthamiana. RNAcentral describes it as "long non-coding RNA (NBEN_LNC001966)". The record is from RNAcentral. Lineage: Eukaryota; Viridiplantae; Streptophyta; Magnoliopsida; Solanales; Solanaceae.